UACGUAGGGUGCGAGCGUUGUCCGGAAUUACUGGGCGUAAAGAGCUCGUAGGUGGUUUGUCGCGUUGUUCGUGAAAACUCACAGCUUAACUGUGGGCGUGCGGGCGAUACGGGCAGACUGGAGUACUGCAGGGGAGACUGGAAUUCCUGGUGUAGCGGUGGAAUGCGCAGAUAUCAGGAGGAACACCGGUGGCGAAGGCGGGUCUCUGGGCAGUAACUGACGCUGAGGCACGAAGGCCAGGGGAGCAAACGGG
This 253-nucleotide ribosomal RNA is filed under the name uncultured bacterium. RNAcentral's name for it is "partial 16S ribosomal RNA". It matches the Rfam family "Bacterial small subunit ribosomal RNA", at positions 524 to 776 of the family's 1533-position model. The record is from RNAcentral.